GUUGACCUCGGAUCAGGUAGGGAUACCCGCUGAACUUAAGCAUAUCAAUAAGCGGAGGAAAAGAAACCAACAGGGAUUGCCUCAGUAACGGCGAGUGAAGCGGCAAGAGCUCAAAUUUGAAAGCUGGCUCCUUCGGGGUCCGCAUUGUAAUUUGCAGAGGAUGCUUCGGGAGCGGCCCCCAUCUAAGUGCCCUGGAACGGGCCGUCAUAGAGGGUGAGAAUCCCGUAUGGGAUGGGGUGCCCGCGACCAUGUGAAGCUCCUUCGACGAGUCGAGUUGUUUGGGAAUGCAGCUCUAAAUGGGUGGUAAAUUUCAUCUAAAGCUAAAUAUUGGCCGGAGACCGAUAGCGCACAAGUAGAGUGAUCGAAAGAUGAAAAGCACUUUGAAAAGAGAGUUAAAAAGCACGUGAAAUUGUUGAAAGGGAAGCGCUUGCGACCAGACUCGCCCGCGGGGUUCAGCCGGUAUUCGUACCGGUGUACUUCCCCGUGGGCGGGCCAGCGUCGGUUUGGGCGGCCGGUCAAAGGCCCUCGGAAUGUAACGCCUCUCGGGGCGUCUUAUAGCCGAGGGUGCCAUGCGGCCAGCCCGGACCGAGGAACGCGCUUCGGCACGGACGCUGGCAUAAUGGUCGUAAGCGACC
RNAcentral lists this ribosomal RNA (635 nucleotides) under Penicillium guttulosum. RNAcentral's name for it is "eukaryotic LSU rRNA". It matches the Rfam family "Eukaryotic large subunit ribosomal RNA", at positions 1 to 649 of the family's 3401-position model. RNAcentral also lists the same sequence under 1 other name. The record is from RNAcentral. Lineage: Eukaryota; Fungi; Ascomycota; Eurotiomycetes; Eurotiales; Aspergillaceae.